AAGUGUUCACAACGCAAAACAACUGUCCCCGAGCUCUCUCUCUCGUGUGUGUGUGCGCGAUCGGUGUUUACAGCCCUCGCCCGCCGGUGGCGCCCCCUCUGGCGCGCCUCCCCGCGCAACCUCGACGACGCCCGCCUCCCCAGAUGGUCCUGGGAAUGCAUCUCCAAGAUCCUCGCCGAGCACCGCGGCCCUGGCCGCCGCCUCUGCCUCCGCCACCUCAGCCGGCAGGGCAGCAUCGCCGAUCUCGCAGAGUGGAUCCGAUCUCCCGCCCUCGACAACCUCGAGGAGAUCCAUAUCUCUUACCGAUACGACCUUCUGCUGCCGCCGUGCGCCCUCCGCUUCGCGCCGACCCUCCGCGUCGCCAGCUUCGCCCGCUGCCGUUUCCCCAAGGACAUUUCCGCGACCCUCGCAUUCCCGCAUUUGACGCGGCUCGCCCUCACCGAGGUCGAGAUCUCCGAGGAUGCCCUCCACGGCCUGCUCUCCGCCUGUUCCGCGCUCAGGGUGCUCCAGCUGGAUUGGUGCAGCGGCUUCGACCGAGUGGUCAUCAACUCGCCGACCCUCCAGAGCUUCGGCAUUGUCGCGGACAGCUACGUGGGCGAGCUGGUCAUACACUAUGCUCCUCGCCUGGAGAGAUUGAUUGCAUUUGAUAAUUUUGACAUCCAGGUGAUCAGAGCGCCUAGACUGCAGAUGGCUUGCUUUCUGGACAGCCACAAGACUACACUCCAUGUUGGAACCAUGGCUUCUCGGGGAAUUUCUGGCGGAAACUUGGCAACGUCACUGCACAGCGUGAAGAUUUUCAUUCUUGAUACUGUUGGUCCUGAUCUUGAUGCAGUUCUAAACUUCAUCAAAUACUUUCCUUGCUUGGAGAAGCUCGUCAUCACGUUAUACCUGGAAGUUGAUCUGAAAAAGAAAAAUGUACGCCAUCUUAACCCACAAGAUCGCAUUGAAUGUCUUGACCUCAGUCUCAAAGAAGUAGUGCUGAAGGGUUACGAGGGCAAGCGGUCGGAUCUUAACUUUGCCAAGUUCUUUGUUCUGAAUGCUAAGGUGCUUGAGUCAAUGGAACUCCGUGUCCAGGAUAACACAUUCACCAGGAGAUGGGAAACUAAUCAGCGUAGGCGGCUACAACUGGAUAGCAGGGCUUCUAGAAAUGCUGGGUUUGAGUUUGGAGAAGCUUAUCCGUUCACUACAUUUGCAUGCAGCAAUCAUGCUCAUGUUUUGACCAUGGCUGAUCCUGUUGGUACCUCUUGCGGAGUUUGUGGGCAUACUGAUUGA
Molecule: ribosomal RNA, 1272 nt
Filed under: Triticum aestivum (bread wheat)
Lineage: Eukaryota; Viridiplantae; Streptophyta; Magnoliopsida; Poales; Poaceae
Description: partial small subunit ribosomal RNA
Source: RNAcentral